CAGUGACCAACAGUGUGGGAGUAGGAGAGGAUCUGGAGACUGCUGCUGCUGGGGAGGAGCACUCAAGCUGGAGCACUGGAUGGAUAAACAGUAACAGCUGUAGGAAGUUCACCAGGACACUUUGUUGUCAUUCCUGCUCAGACCUCGGAAAUGAAGAACAGUCAUGUAAACACGGAUCGGAGUAACCCAGCAGAUGAAUGCAAGAAGUUUAAACGAAAGCUUCGGGAUUCUGUUAAACGUGAGGAAAAGAGCUCACAUGACUCGAAGAAAAGCCUCGACUCGGUAGAACCUCUGCUGGAGCAGGUUUAUGGAAAAACCCAUGAGAACAAGUUCCAGAGUUUUGAUCCAGCUGGAGAAUACAUCCAGCAACCGGACGUCUUGAACACUGCUCUCGAUAUGAAAGUGUACACGUUGCCGUCACUGAGUAGGAAUGAAACAGAAACGCCACUGUGGUCGAUUUCAGAGACUGGGGGGAGAACCAGAAGCGACACAGCAUCACUACACGAAUCGGUCUUCGAUCAUCAGCAAGCGUUUCCAGCAAACUGUCCUCCUCCUCAUCAUCAUCACCAUCAUCAUCAUUCGCGUAUCCUGUUAUGCAAACGCUCUGAAAGGUCUGUGUGCUCGACCUCUAGGGGUUCGUACCUCCAAAACAGUACUGAAACCACCGAGUCGGUUCGGAAACCAGCUGAAGAGCAGUCUGCUGGUGUGGUCACGGAGAUCAGAGCAAUUCAGCAGACACGAAGACUCCUGGCAAAUGCUCGAGAGAGGACCAGGGUUCACACCAUCAGUGCAGCGUUCGAGGCUCUGCGAAAGCAGGUGCCUUGCUACUCCUAUGGACAGAAACUCUCCAAGCUGGCUAUAUUAAGAAUUGCUUGCAACUAUAUCCUGUCAUUGGCUCAACUUGUAGAUCUGGACUAUACACCAGACCACAGCAACAUGAGCUUCAGGGAGUGUGUUGAGCAGUGCACCAGAACCCUGCAGGCUGAGGGUCGCUCCAAGAAGAGAAAGUGUCUGGUGUGACCCCCUGGUGUAGAAAUAACUGGAACUAAACGUCUGGGGUGACUGUUGAUCAUCUGCACAUCGGAUCGGAGGGAUUUUAGCACAUUCAUCAGUACAGAACAGCUUCGACUCUGGGAUGUUGGAGUAAAAUGAAGACUGGCUUAGAAGAAAGAAGAACGUCACUACGGAACGAUCAGGACGAGGCGUAUUCUACACUGAUGCAUCCUUACACUUGACGUGUGAGAUCCUGGAAUGUUCUAUCGAAGUAGGCUAAAGUGUGUGAGGAGAAAAAAAACGUCACCGAAUUAUUACAUAUAUAAUAAUAAUAAUAAUAAUAAUAAUAAUAAUAACAAUAAUACGGUAACUGCAGAUAUUACAAUAUAAUACAUUUAACACUGCGAAAAUAUUAUACAGAACACACUAUUAUUAUAAUUCUACACCGCAACGAUGAACGAUUAUUGUAAAAUGCCCAUAUGAUGUUUGUCAAUCGGAUGACGCGUUGCAGGUUUUACAGAUAUUUCAGUUAGCUUGCAGGAUUUAAUUUACGCUUGAAUUUGAACUUGAGGCUUGUAAAACUGCAUGGAUGGGUUAGGUAGCACAGAUUCAUAAUAUGAAUUAUUAAUAUAAACAAAUGUUUAAUGACGCAUUAAAGACCGCUUCCAUCAAUAUGAAA
Molecule: RNA transcript, 1672 nt
Organism: Ictalurus punctatus (channel catfish)
Lineage: Eukaryota; Metazoa; Chordata; Actinopteri; Siluriformes; Ictaluridae
Gene: atoh8
Gene name: atonal bHLH transcription factor 8
Exons: 5
Source: RefSeq, a predicted model, not a curated record